This 77-nucleotide transfer RNA is filed under the name Pseudomonadota bacterium. RNAcentral describes it as "Proteobacteria bacterium tRNA-Pro". It matches the Rfam family "tRNA". From Rfam's summary of the family: Transfer RNA (tRNA) molecules are approximately 80 nucleotides in length. Their secondary structure includes four short double-helical elements and three loops (D, anti-codon, and T loops). Further hydrogen bonds mediate the characteristic L-shaped molecular structure. tRNAs have two regions of fundamental functional importance: the anti-codon, which is responsible for specific mRNA codon recognition, and the 3' end, to which the tRNAs corresponding amino acid is attached (by aminoacyl-tRNA synthetases). tRNAs cope with the degeneracy of the genetic code in two manners: having more than one tRNA (with a specific anti-codon) for a particular amino acid; and 'wobble' base-pairing, i.e. permitting non-standard base-pairing at the 3rd anti-codon position. Lineage: Bacteria; Pseudomonadati; Pseudomonadota. The record is from RNAcentral.
CGGGGCGUAGCGCAGCCUGGUAGCGCACUUGCAUGGGGUGUAAGGGGUCGGAUGUUCGAAUCAUCUCGCCCCGACCA